UUCCAACUACAGAUCGUUUUAUUAUGCCGGGCUUCCCCACUUAUGGGUUUAGUUGUGGGUUAGGGUUCUCUCGAUUUAGGGCUCCGACACAAUUCUCUCGAUUUAGGGGUUGAUUUUACUCUCGAUUUUGGGCUGCUACCGGGUUGCCUUGAUUUAGGAUCUUUUGUGCUACUAAGUUCGAGUUUGGGAUUAUUUGGUCUUUAUAUUCAGGGGUUGCUACUGUGAUUGAUUCUUUGUGUUGCUUGGUGAUUUCGAGUACUGCUGCUGGGUUUUGUUGGAUUACUACUGCUACUACUGGUGUGUUUUUACACCCAAAAGGU
RNAcentral lists this long non-coding RNA (320 nucleotides) under Daucus carota (carrot). RNAcentral describes it as "long non-coding RNA (DCAR_LNC005868)". Lineage: Eukaryota; Viridiplantae; Streptophyta; Magnoliopsida; Apiales; Apiaceae. The record is from RNAcentral.